GACGAACGCUGGCGGCGUGCUUAACACAUGCAAGUCGAACGGAAAGGCCCUGCUUUUGUGGGGUGCUCGAGUGGCGAACGGGUGAGUAACACGUAAGUAACCUGCCCUUGACUUUGGGAUAACUUCAGGAAACUGGGGCUAAUACCGGAUAGGAGCUCCUGCUGCAUGGUGGGGGUUGGAAAGUUUCGGCGGUUGGGGAUGGACUCGCGGCUUAUCAGCUUGUUGGUGGGGUAGUGGCUUACCAAGGCAUUGACGGGUAGCCGGCCUGAGAGGGUGACCGGCCACAUUGGGACUGAGAUACGGCCCAGACUCCUACGUGAGGCAGCAGUGGGGAAUAUUGCACAAUGGGCGGAAGCCUGAUGCAGCAGCGCCGCGUGCGGGAUGACGGCCUUCGGGUUGUAAACCGCUUUCGCCUGUGACGAAGCGUGAGUGACGGUAAUGGGUAAAGAAGCACCGGCUAACUACGUG
RNAcentral lists this ribosomal RNA (468 nucleotides) under uncultured bacterium. RNAcentral describes it as "partial 16S ribosomal RNA". It matches the Rfam family "Bacterial small subunit ribosomal RNA", at positions 28 to 507 of the family's 1533-position model. The record is from RNAcentral.